Molecule: ribosomal RNA, 395 nt
Filed under: uncultured bacterium
Lineage: Bacteria
Description: partial 16S ribosomal RNA
Rfam family: Bacterial small subunit ribosomal RNA
Source: RNAcentral
AUAUUGCACAAUGGGGGAAACCCUGAUGCAGCGACGCCGCGUGAGUGAAGAAGUAUUUNGGUAUGNANAGCUCCAUCAGCAGGGANAACAAUGACGGUACCUGACUAAGAAUCCCCGGCUAACUACGUGCCAGCAGACGCGGUAAUACGUAGGGGGCAAGCGUUAUCCGGAUUUACUGGGUGUAAAGGGAGCGUAGGUGGCAAAUCAAGUCAGAUGUGAAAGCCCGGGGCUCAACUCCGGGAUUGCAUUUGAAACUGGUAUGCUAGAGUGCAGGAGAGGUAAGUGGAAUUCCUAGUGUAGCGGUGAAAUGCGUAGAUAUUAGGAGGAACACCAGUGGCGAAGGCGGCUUACUGGACUGUAACUGACACUGAGGCUCGAAAGCGUGGGGAGCAAAC